Molecule: ribosomal RNA, 500 nt
Filed under: uncultured bacterium
Lineage: Bacteria
Description: partial 16S ribosomal RNA
Rfam family: Bacterial small subunit ribosomal RNA
Source: RNAcentral
AUUGAACGCUGGCGGCAUGCCUUACACAUGCAAGUCGAACGGCAGCACGGGAGCAAUCCUGGUGGCGAGUGGCGAACGGGUGAGUAAAGUAUCGGAACGUGCCCAGUCGUGGGGGAUAACGUAGCGAAAGUUACGCUAAUACCGCAUACGAUCUAUGAAUGAAAGCGGGGGAUCGCAAGACCUCGCGCGAUUGGAGCGGCCGAUAUCAGAUUAGGUGGUUGGUGGGGUAAAGGCUCACCAAGCCGACGAUCUGUAGCUGGUCUGAGAGGACGACCAGCCACACUGGGACUGAGACACGGCCCAGACUCCUACGGGAGGCAGCAGUGGGGAAUUUUGGACAAUGGGCGCAAGCCUGAUCCAGCCAUGCCGCGUGCAGGAUGAAGGCCUUCGGGUUGUAAACUGCUUUUGUACGGAACGAAAAGGUUUGACUUAAUACGUUGGACUCAUGACGGUACCGUAAGAAUAAGCACCGGCUAACUACGUGCCAGCAGCCGCCGUAA